Molecule: non-coding RNA, 5107 nt
Organism: Salmo salar (Atlantic salmon)
Lineage: Eukaryota; Metazoa; Chordata; Actinopteri; Salmoniformes; Salmonidae
Source: RefSeq, a predicted model, not a curated record
GGGAGUUGGGAGGAAACGGGAGGUGGCUGCAGUGUUCCAAACAAUUUGGAAGGGUGUGACACAGGAGGGUGCAUUUGGGUAUAUAUAGCACCGUUUGUGCAACUUUUCCUGACAAUCUCCCUGGACGAGGAAGAGAAGGGAGCAUUUCCAAGUGCGGAGGAAGACCGGCUGUGUACCGAAGCUAUGGCCAUGGCUCUCAACUUACUUUUCUUUGUAUUGAGCACAUCAGUGAUUAUACAAACCGCGACAUCGCGCACCUUCAAAUCGAUUUACCUGGUGACAGUCAGCUCGGAGCUGGUAGGAGGGACCACAGAGAAACUUUGUGCUCAGGUCCACCAAGCCAAAGAGCCUCUGUCGUUGAAGGUGUCGCUGGAGAUGGAGGGUGGCAGCAGCACCAUUCUACUGGAGGAAGACGUAACACAGGACUUCUAUCGCUGCAUCUCCUUCCAGGUACCCCCAGUGACGGCUGACAGUGUGGCCACUGUCAAUGUCAGUAUCAAGGGGAGGACGGACGAGAUGAGUAAAAUGACCAAGAUCCUUAUCAAGCCUAAAAGAUUCCUCACCAUUUUCCAGACAGACAAACCAGUCUACAAACCUGGACAGACAGUCAAGUUCCGAAUCGUCUCGCUGGAUGCCAGUUUCUUGUCAUUCAAUCAGAUGUAUCUAACAGUGGAGCUUCAGGACCCAAACUCCAACCGCAUUGCUCAGUGGUUGAACCAGUCAACAGUGAGUGGAAUUCUGGACCUGUCCCACCCCAUGUCCGCAGAGGCAACGCAAGGAAGUUACAUCAUCACUGCAUGGAAUGAGAAGGGAGAGCAAACCUCCCAAAACUUUGACGUCAAAGAAUAUGUUUUACCCAAAUAUGAGGUCAAAGUCUAUCUACCCCAAACAAUCACUAUUCUGGACAAACGAGCAACGCUGAGAGUUUGUGGCAAAUACACUUAUGGAAAACCAGUGAUGGGGUCUGUCACUGCGACGGUUUGCAGAAUUGCCGUUCAAUAUCACUGGUUAUAUGAUUCUAGUAAUAUCUGCGAGGUGUAUGUUAUCAAAACUGACAAAACUGGUUGUGCAACCCAAAUGCUCGACUUGACCCGGUUCCGUCUACGUGAAUCUUUUGGGGACUUCGAAGUGGAGACUGAGAUGGAGGAAUAUGGAACGGGGGUCAUCCUUAAAGGUAGUGGCAAGGCAAGCUUCACCAAUGUCAUCAUAACGGUCAGUUUUGAGGAUGUGCCCCAAGCAUAUAAACCAGGAAUUGCGUAUGAGGGGAAGAUCAAGGUGACCGGUCCAGACUCUACUCCCGUUCCCAAUGAGCCUGUGUAUCUCUUCCUACAAAACGGUGGCCAAUCUGAGAACUGGACUCUCACCACAGACAGCAAGGGCAUUGCUUCUUUCUCUCUAGACACUUCUCUAUGGACUUCUGAUUCUGUCUCUCUGUCGGCUCGUUAUCAAAAGGUUAUGGAGGAUUAUCUGUACGAACAGGGUGUGCGUAGUCCUCUAUAUACAUCUGCUUACCAUUUCGCAUGGAAAUUUUAUUCCAAGAGCAAGAGCUUUGUGAAGAUAAUGCAGGGCGAAGGGAAGUUCUCCUGUGAGAAGGACGGUAUUGUUCUUGCUCGCUACAUCAUCCACGGGGUGGAGCUGAAAAGGGGACAGACGACCCUGGACUUUUUCUAUCUGGUUAUAUCUAGAGGCAGCAUUCAGCAGCACGGCCGUCUUCCUGUGAUCAUUAAAGAAAGAAAAGUUAACCAAGGGGAACUGAUGCUCUCGCUGCGGCGGAUGCCUGAGCUGACCCCUUUUGCCCAGGUGGUGGUGUACACCGUGUUGCCUGAUGGGGAGGCAGUAGCAGAUAGCCAAGACUUCCCCAUUCAACUCUGCCUAAAAAACAAGGUGUCCCUGAAGUUCUCGUCCCUCCAGGAGUUGCCAGGGGAGAAGACCUCUCUGAGCCUCCAGGCCCACCCAGGGUCUCUGUGUUCUCUCAGGGCCAUCGACCAGAGUGUGCUGCUGCUGCAGCCUGAACAGGAGCUCAGCCUGGACUCUGUCUUCAGUCAGCUGCCUGUUCAGAAGUUGUCUGGAUAUUCUUACAGAGUAGAAGACCCCUACCCAUGCCUUGGAUAUCCUCCAAGAUUUGAAGAGAUGAUCCUUCCACCCGAACCAAAACCGGUCGAGGAGUUGGUAGUACCUGAUUGGGGGAAACGCUCAUUCUGGUUUGGCCCCAGCAACGACAAAAACGAUGUCUACAGCAUCUUUAAAGAAGUUGGAAUCAAGAUCCUGACCAACUCUGACGUGAAAAAACCUUACAACUGUAACACAUACUUUGCAAUGAAACAAAAUGGUAUGAUGGAAGUUCGUCCCAUGAACAUGAUGCCUAAAGAGGAGAGCUCACCAACCCCUGGAGCCUCUGACAAGCCUAAAGAGACCGUCCGCACGUACUUCCCUGAGACCUGGAUCUGGGACCUGGUUCCUGUGGGACAUACAGGAAAAGUGAAUGUUGACAAGACUGUCCCAGACACCAUCACUAAGUGGGCUGCAGGGGCGUUCUGUACUUCCCCAGUGGGUUUUGGCCUGGCUCCCAACACUGGCCUCACUGCCUUCCAACCCUUCUUUGUGAGCCUGACGCUGCCCUACUCUGUCAUCCGGGGGGAGGUGUUCACACUCAAGGCCACAGUGUUCAACUACCUCUCCAAGUGUAUCAUGGUGAAGGUGACUCUAGCUGAGUCGAACCAGUUCACAGCCAGGCCAUGUGAAGGCUGCCAGUACACCCUGUGUCUGUGUGCUGAAGAGAGCAGGACCUUCAAGUGGAUCCUCACCCCAACUGCUUUAGGGGAGGUGAGUGUGAAAGUGAGCGCCGAGGCGUUGAAAACUGAGGACCUCUGCGGCAACGAGGUGGCCACGGUGCCAGAGAAAGGACGCAUUGACACCGUUGUGCAAACACUGCUGGUAGAGGCCGAGGGAACCCAGGAGACGGUCAGCCACAAUGCUCUGCUCUGCCCUGCAGAGGGCCCGGUGGAGAAGGACAUCUCUCUGAAGCUGCCUGAGGUGUUUGUGGAGGGCUCUGCCAAGGCGUCCCUCUCAGUACUGGGCGACCUGAUGGGUCGGGCCAUGAAGAACCUGGACAGCCUGUUGCAGAUGCCCUAUGGCUGUGGAGAGCAGAACAUGGUGCUGUUUGCUCCCAAUAUCUACAUCCUCAACUACCUGCAAAGCACCAGGCAGCUCACCAUGGAGAUCCAGACCAGGGCCACAGGCUUCCUAGACAGUGGCUACCAGAGGGAGCUCAACUACAAGCAUGACGAUGGCUCCUACAGUGCCUUUGGGAAGAAGCGAUGAGUCUGGAAACACGUGGCUCACCUCCUUUGUGAUGAAGUCCUUUGGAGGGGCCAAGCCCUACAUCUUUGUGGACCCCGCCCACAUUGCCCAGGCCAAGGCCUGGUUGGCCAGUCACCAGCAGACGGAUGGCUGCAUCGCGUCAGUGGGGAAACUCUUCCAUAACGGCAUGAAGGGAGGGGUCGGGGAUGAAGUGUCGCUCACUGCCUACAUCACCGCUGCACUGCUGGAGCUGGAUGGCAACACUUCUGACCCCAUGGUGGAGAAGAGUCUGGUGUGUCUGAAGGCAGCAGUGUCUGACCAGCUGGACAACACCUACACCAUGGCCCUGCUGUCCUACACCUUCACCCUGGCCCAAAACCAGGACAUGAGGGCCAAGCUCAUCACCCACCUGGACAAGAGAGCUGCUACCUCGGGUGGCAAUCGUCACUGGGAGAGAGCAGAGGCUUCUGGGACAAAGACGGACUCUCUGGAGGUGGAGAUGACAUCCUAUGUGCUGCUGGCGCUGCUUUCCGGUCCCACCAUGCCAGGCUUUGGGCUGGACUACUCCACUGGCAUCGUCCGCUGGCUGGCCCAGCAGCAGAACCCCUACGGAGGCUUUGCCUCAACACAGGACACAGUGGUAGCACUGCAGGCCCUGGCCAAGUACGGUGCUGCCACCUUCAGUCCAGAGGGCGCCAGUACAGUCAGUGUGAGCUCGGCCGGAGGCCUGAAGAUGGAGUUUACUGUGAAUCAGAACAACAGGCUGCUCUAUCAGGAGCAGCAGCUGAGGGAGGUCCCUGGGGACUACAACAUCAAGGCACAGGGCAAGAGCUGCGUCUUUGUGCAGAUCGCCAUGCACUACAAUAUUCCCCCUCCUCCUGACUUCUCUGCUUUCAACAUCUCAACACAGACGCUUGGGAAAUGUAACGGCACCAAGAAAUCUCUGAUAGUGUCUGUGGAUGUCAGGUACAAUGGUCGGCGAGAGGAGACCAACAUGGUGAUCAUCAAUGUCAAGCUUCUCUCCGGCUUUGUCCUGGACAAGUCCUCCCUCAGGCCUUUGAAAAAUGACCCCACUGUCAAACGAGUUGACCUGGAGGAAGGACAUGUCAUCAUCUACCUAGAUGGGCUCAAGCAGAAGGAAACGAAGACGUACAGCCUGGCCAUAGAGGAGGAUGUGCCUGUGAGGAAUCUGAAACCAGCUGUGGUGAAAGUGUAUGACUACUACCAGACAAGUGAUGAAGCUGUGAGUGAAUACAGCUCCCCAUGUGCGGAGAGUGACAGUCAAUGAAGUGUGAGAGCCAAUCACGCUGACUGGACCUGGGCUCAACUAAUUGCUUUCCUAUUUAGGAAGUACCAUUUUAUUUUUUAGGCAGAGCUCAUAGAACCCCUCCAUUUGGUGGUUACACAUUGACCAACUUGUAAUCUGUUUCAAUUGUGUUAAUUUACAAUGUUGUCAUUUAAUAGAUGGGCCUUAAGGUAAAAUCGUAACUCUUUGUUACUUUGACUUCUGUUGUAAUCCUGCUAUUAAAGUGAUUGUGAGCUCGUUAUGCAGAAAGUUAUUGUAAUGUUUCUACUGUAAAUGUUAAUAAAACCAGUCUCCGUAACAUCUGUUUUAAUAGAUAUAAUCUAUACAUAACAGUGUACCAUACGGGAGCUAUAUUCUACAGUGUUGAGGGAGCAUAUUGAGUGUGGCAUACUGUUAACUGAAGUGUAUUCUGACCAUUAGACUUCUGUUGAAAUGGCUUUUUGUACAAUACUGGUUGAAUGAGUAAAUGACAUUUUACAGUAAAACCUUUUUCUAACACUA